RNAcentral lists this ribosomal RNA (440 nucleotides) under uncultured bacterium. RNAcentral's name for it is "partial 16S ribosomal RNA". It matches the Rfam family "Bacterial small subunit ribosomal RNA", at positions 338 to 795 of the family's 1533-position model. The record is from RNAcentral.
CCUACGGGAGGCAGCAGUGGGGAAUAUUGCACAAUGGAGGGAACUCUGAUGCAGCGACGCCGCGUGAGUGAAGAAGUAAUUCGGUAUGUAAAGCUCUAUCAGCAGGGAAGAAAAUGACGGUACCUGACUAAGAAGCACCGGCUAACUACGUGCCAGCAGCCGCGGUAAUACGUAGGGGGCAAGCGUUAUCCGGAUUUACUGGGUGUAAAGGGAGCGUAGGCGGCCAGACAAGUCAGAAGUGAAAGCUCAGGGCUCAACCCUGGGACUGCUUUUGAAACUGCCGGGCUGGAGUGCAGGAGAGGGAAGCGGAAUGCCUAGUGUAGCGGUGAAAUGCGUAGAUAUUAGGAGGAACACCAGUGGCGAAGGCGGCUUACGGGACUGUAACUGACGUUGAGGCUCGAAAGCGUGGGGAGCAAACAGGAUUAGAUACCCCAGUAGUC